RNAcentral lists this ribosomal RNA (253 nucleotides) under uncultured bacterium. RNAcentral describes it as "partial 16S ribosomal RNA". It matches the Rfam family "Bacterial small subunit ribosomal RNA", at positions 524 to 776 of the family's 1533-position model. The record is from RNAcentral.
UACGUAGGGGGCAAGCGUUGUUCGGAAUUACUGGGCGUAAAGGGCGCGUAGGCGGCACGGCAAGUCGGGAGUGAAAGCCCGGGGCUCAACCCCGGAGGGUCUUCCGAAACUGCCGAGCUAGAGUGCGGAAGAGGCAACCGGAAUUCCCAGUGUAGCGGUGAAAUGCGUAGAUAUUGGGAAGAACACCAGAGGCGAAGGCGGGUUGCUGGGCCGACACUGACGCUGGGGCGCGAAAGCCAGGGGAGCAAACGGG